UUACUUACCUGGCAGGGGAGACACCACGAUCAAGAAGCCGCUGGUUCACCCAGGGCGAGGCUCAGCCAUUGCAAUCCAGCCGUCUGACCGCUGCGAAUUUCCCGAACGCGUGGAAUCUCGACUGCAUCAUUUCUAGCAGUGGUGGGACCACAUUCGGGAUAUCCCCUG
This is a small nuclear RNA of Lampris incognitus (smalleye Pacific opah), 168 nucleotides long. RefSeq annotates it as U1 spliceosomal RNA. NCBI's taxonomy places the organism in Eukaryota, Metazoa, Chordata, Actinopteri, Lampriformes, Lampridae. The transcript has a single exon. The record is from RefSeq and is a predicted model, not a curated record.